This 403-nucleotide ribosomal RNA is filed under the name Bacteroidota bacterium. RNAcentral describes it as "Bacteroidetes bacterium partial 16S ribosomal RNA". It matches the Rfam family "Bacterial small subunit ribosomal RNA", at positions 355 to 776 of the family's 1533-position model. Lineage: Bacteria; Pseudomonadati; Bacteroidota. The record is from RNAcentral.
UGGGGAAUCUUGCACAAUGGGGGAAACCCUGAUGCAGCGACGCCGCGUGAGCGAUGAAGGUUUUCGAAUCGUAAAGCUCUGUCCUAUGGGAAGAUAAUGACGGUACCAUAGGAGGAAGCCCCGGCUAACUACGUGCCAGCAGCCGCGGUAAUACGUAGGGGGCGAGCGUUGUCCGGAAUUACUGGGCGUAAAGGGUUCGCAGGCGGAAAUGCAAGUCAGGUGUAAAAGGCAGUAGCUUAACUACUGUAAGCAUUUGAAACUGCAUAUCUUGAGAAGAGUAGAGGUAAGUGGAAUUUUUAGUGUAGCGGUGAAAUGCGUAGAUAUUAAAAAGAAUACCGGUGGCGAAGGCGACUUACUGGGCUCAUUCUGACGCUGAGGAACGAAAGCGUGGGUAGCAAACAGG